CGCACAGCUCAGUAGCACGUGGCUAACCUACCCUUGGGACGGGAGCACCCCCGGGAAACUGGGGCUAAUUUCCGAUAGGUGAAGACUCCUGGAAUGGAUUUUCGCCUAAAAGGCGCUUAGGGCAUGCUUCUAAGUGUUGCCCAAGGAUGGGGCCGCGGCCGAUCAGGUUGUUGGUGAGGUAAUGGCUCACCAAGCCUUUGACCGGUGCGGGCCGUGGGAGCGGGAGCCCGGAGAUGGACACUGAGACAAGGGUCCAGGCCCUACGGGGCGCAGCAGUCGCGAAAACUUCGCAAUAAGCGAAAGCUUGACGGGGCUAUCCCGAGUGCCAUCCGCUGAGGACGGCUUUUUCCUAGUAUAGAUAGCUGGGGGAAUAAGGAGAGGGCAAGUCUGGUGUCAGCCGCCGCGGUAAUACCAGCUCUCCGAGUAGUGGGGAUGAUUAUUGGGCCUAAAGCAUCCGUAGCCGGCUGGGUAAGUCCUCUGUUAAACCCAACGAUCUAAUCGUUGGUCUGCGGGGGAUACUGCUCGGCUAGGAGGCGAGAGAGGCCGUCGGUAUUCCCGGGGUAGGGGUGAAAUCCUAUAAUCCCGGGAGGACCACCAGUGGCGAAGGCUGUCGGCUAGAACGCGCUCGACGGUGAGGGAUGAAAGCUGGGGGAGCGAACC
RNAcentral lists this ribosomal RNA (660 nucleotides) under uncultured archaeon. Its description in RNAcentral is "bacterial SSU rRNA". It matches the Rfam family "Archaeal small subunit ribosomal RNA", at positions 82 to 725 of the family's 1478-position model. The record is from RNAcentral.